This 253-nucleotide ribosomal RNA is filed under the name uncultured bacterium. RNAcentral describes it as "partial 16S ribosomal RNA". It matches the Rfam family "Bacterial small subunit ribosomal RNA", at positions 524 to 776 of the family's 1533-position model. The record is from RNAcentral.
UACGUAGGGUGCAAGCGUUGUCCGGAAUUAUUGGGCGUAAAGAGCUUGUAGGCGGUUUGUCGCGUCUGCUGUGAAAUUUCGGGGCUCAACCCCGAACUUGCAGUGGGUACGGGCAGACUAGAGUGUGGUAGGGGAGACUGGAAUUCCUGGUGUAGCGGUGAAAUGCGCAGAUAUCAGGAGGAACACCGGUGGCGAAGGCGGGUCUCUGGGCAGUAACUGACGCUGAGGAGCGAAAGCGUGGGGAGCGAACAGG